UAGGGAAUCUUCCGCAAUGGACGCAAGUCUGACGGAGCAACGCCGCGUGAGUGAAGAAGGAUUUCGGUUCGUAAAACUCUGUUGUUAGAGAAGAACAGCGCAUAGAGUAACUGUUAUGCGUGUGACGGUAUCUAACCAGAAAGCCAUGGCUAACUACGUGCCAGCAGCCGCGGUAAUACGUAGGUGGCAAGCGUUGUCCGGAUUUAUUGGGCGUAAAGCGAGCGCAGGCGGUCAAUUAAGUCUGAUGUGAAAGCCCCCGGCUCAACCGGGGAGGGUCAGUGGAAACUGGUUGGAUUGAGUGAAGAAGAGGAGAGUGGAAUUCCAUGUGUAGCGGUGAAAUGCGUAGAUAUAUGGAGGAACACCAGUGGCGAAGGCGACUCUCUGGUCUGUAACUGACGCUGAGGCUCGAAAGCGUGGGUAGCAAACAGG
RNAcentral lists this ribosomal RNA (429 nucleotides) under Bacteroidota bacterium. RNAcentral's name for it is "Bacteroidetes bacterium partial 16S ribosomal RNA". It matches the Rfam family "Bacterial small subunit ribosomal RNA", at positions 355 to 776 of the family's 1533-position model. The record is from RNAcentral. Lineage: Bacteria; Pseudomonadati; Bacteroidota.